UGGCGGCGUGCCUAACACAUGCAAGUCGAUUGGAGAAUUUUAUUUCGGUAGAAUUCUUAGUGGCGAACGGGUGAGUAACGCGUAGGCAACCUACCCUUUAGAUGGGGACAACAUUCCGAAAGGAGUGCUAAUACCGGAUGUGAUCAUCUUGCCGCAUGGCAGGAUGAAGAAAGAUGGCCUCUACAAGUAAGCUAUCGCUAAAGGAUGGGCCUGCGUCUGAUUAGCUAGUUGGUAGUGUAACGGACUACCAAGGCGAUGAUCAGUAGCCGGUCUGAGAGGAUGAACGGCCACAUUGGGACUGAGACACGGCCCAAACUCCUACGGGAGGCAGCAGUGGGGAAUCUUCCGCAAUGGACGAAAGUCUGACGGAGCAACGCCGCGUGAGUGAUGAAGGAUUUCGGUCUGUAAAGCUCUGUUGUUUAUGACGAACGUGCAGUGUGUGAACAAUGCAUUGCAAUGACGGUAGUAAACGAGGAAGCCACGGCUAACUACGUGCCAGCAGCCGCGGUAAUACGUAGGUGGCGAGCGUUGUCCGGAAUUAUUGGGCGUAAAGAGCAUGUAGGCGGCUUAAUAAGUCGAGCGUGAAAAUGCGGGGCUCAACCCCGUAUGGCGCUGGAAACUGUUAGGCUUGAGUGCAGGAGAGGAAAGGGGAAUUCCCAGUGUAGCGGUGAAAUGCGUAGAUAUUGGGAGGAACACCAGUGGCGAAGGCGCCUUUCUGGACUGUGUCUGACGCUGAGAUGCGAAAGCCAGGGUAGCGAACGGGAUUAGAUACCCCGGUAGUCCUGGCCGUAAACGAUGGGUACUAGG
This 807-nucleotide ribosomal RNA is filed under the name uncultured organism. Its description in RNAcentral is "SSU rRNA". It matches the Rfam family "Bacterial small subunit ribosomal RNA", at positions 37 to 820 of the family's 1533-position model. The record is from RNAcentral.